GAAUAGCUCAGUUGGCUAGAGCGUGGCACUGAUAACACUGUGGUUGCAGGUUCGAUCCCCGCAAGGGACA
Non-coding RNA from Podarcis lilfordi (Lilford's wall lizard), 70 nucleotides. The record is from the annotation of a GenBank genome assembly. NCBI's taxonomy places the organism in Eukaryota, Metazoa, Chordata, Lepidosauria, Squamata, Lacertidae.